GGUGGGAUGGCAGAGUGGACUAUUGCGCCUGCCUUGAAAGCAGGUGCCUUCGGCCUCCUGGGUUCGAAUCCCAGUCCCACCG
RNAcentral lists this transfer RNA (82 nucleotides) under Halogeometricum sp. CBA1124. It matches the Rfam family "tRNA". From Rfam's summary of the family: Transfer RNA (tRNA) molecules are approximately 80 nucleotides in length. Their secondary structure includes four short double-helical elements and three loops (D, anti-codon, and T loops). The record is from Rfam by way of RNAcentral. Lineage: Archaea; Methanobacteriati; Methanobacteriota; Halobacteria; Halobacteriales; Haloferacaceae.